Molecule: unclassified non-coding RNA, 292 nt
Filed under: uncultured Oceanospirillales bacterium
Lineage: Bacteria; Pseudomonadati; Pseudomonadota; Gammaproteobacteria; Oceanospirillales
Description: contains 16S-23S intergenic spacer region
Source: RNAcentral
GGACUACUGGGGUAUCUAAUCCUGUUUGCUACCCACGCUUUCGCACCUCAGUGUCAGUAUCAGUCCAGGCAGUCGCCUUCGCCACUGGUGUUCCUUCCUAUAUCUACGCAUUUCACCGCUACACAGGAAAUUCCACUGCCCUCUACCGUACUCUAGUCAAGCAGUAUCAGGUGCAGUUCCCAGGUUAAGCCCGGGGCUUUCACAUCUGACUGACUCAACCACCUACGCGCGCUUUACGCCCAGUUAUUCCGAUUAACGCUCGCACCCUCCGUAUUACCGCGGCUGCUGGCAC